UGGUGCUGCGAAGAAUGAAUUGCAACUGGAUGGACACAAGGGAUGUCCUUAUUGUAAAUCCUACCAAUUCCAAUCAAGUGGAUCCUGAUUACUCAGAAUUUCAGAAGAGAGUUGACAAGUGGAUCCUGAUUACUCAGAUCGUCUGAUCAGUGUGAUUUCAGGCGAUGAUCCAUCCACAAUGGGGACCUUCAUUUGGACGUCUCGAUCAGCAUGCGCAUAUGUGAUGUGUUCCAUGAAUGAGCUGCCAUGGGCUAAUACAUUGCAAAAAGUGCUGGAGCCUAACCCUUUCAUCAAGAUUUUUGCAACAAUUAAUAGGCAUCUUUUUUCUGCAGUUAGUGAGGUUGUGAUAUUGAUGGUGAGGCCUAACAGGCAAAUGGCUUGUUGCUUGAAUUCUUGGAUAUUUCAAGGGUUGUAUAUUUCCACUUGUUUACACAUUACUGACGGUUUCUAUGCAGAACUGGAAUGGCCGAUGUUCCUGGUACCGCCAGUACCAUUUUUGGUGCUGUUAAAGAUGCUGGAGCUAAUGUUAUCAUGAUAUCUCAGGCCAGUAGCAGCGACCACUCUGUAUGCUUUGGAUGCUGGACGUCUUUAUCAGGGGGAUUGGAAUGGAGCCGGAUGCCACACUAGCUACAGCCAAUGCUUGAGUAUGUGAGGCUGGCUGGACAAUAGUUUGCAUUCAGCUGCCAGUUAAAUCGUUAUUCCAUUAUCACUUGGGACUGAAUGCCAAAUCUAAAAGUUUGUGAUUGGGGCUCAACAACGAAGAAAAGUGGCAAUGAACCCGCACCCAAAAAGCCUAUUGGAAUACCAUUGCCAUUACUGACUUUUAAGGUCCGAAAAGAGAAUUUAGGAGACAGAAUCAUUGCACUCUAGCAACUGGUUUCACCUUUAGGAAAGGUAAAUUUGAAAAGCUCCCAUUUACUUCCACAGAUUUCUACUACGGUUUCUUAUUUUCGAAUUCGAAAAAGCUUUGUUUUGUUGAAUUGAAUAUAAUUGUUCUCUUAUUUCAAACAUUCACCACAUCCAUUCUAUUCGAAGCAAUUGAAUACAUCAAGUUCCUCCAUGAACAAGUCAGUGUAAGUUCCAUGAAAACCAAAUGUAGAAGUCAAGAAAAAAUCCAAGAAAGAGAAUAACAUAUGCCUAAUUUCAUCUUUUUCUUCUAUAAUUUCAGGUUUUAACUACACCAUACAUGAAAAAUGAUGCUCACAUUCAUCACCAGUAGGUAUAUUUCUUUAUUGUGCAAAAUGCUAACAGU
This is a long non-coding RNA of Magnolia sinica, 1252 nucleotides long. RefSeq lists it as uncharacterized. The transcript has 6 exons. The record is from RefSeq and is a predicted model, not a curated record. NCBI's taxonomy places the organism in Eukaryota, Viridiplantae, Streptophyta, Magnoliopsida, Magnoliales, Magnoliaceae.